AGAGUUUGAUCCUGGCUCAGGAUGAACGCUAGCGGCAGGCCUAACACAUGCAAGCCGAGGGGCAGCGGGGCGUAGCAAUACGUUGCCGGCGACCGGCGGAAGGGUGCGUAACACGUGAGCAACAUUCCCGGAUCAGGGACAUAACCCGGAGAAAUCCGGACUAAUUUCCCAUGGUCCUCCAUUGGGACAUCCCCCUGGAGGUAAAGAUUCGUCGGAUCCGGAUUGGCUCGCGGGACAUUAGCUGGACGGCGGGGUAACGGCCCACCGUGGCGACGAUGUCUAGGGGCUCUGAGAGGAGUGACCCCCACAUUGGAACUGAGACACGGUCCAAACUCCUACGGGAGGCAGCAGUGAGGAAUAUUGGACAAUGGAUGGAAGUCUGAUCCAGCCAUGCCGCGUGAAGGAUUGAUGCCCUACGGGUUUUGAACUUCUUUUGUACGGGGGCAAUAAGGUCCACGCGUGGACCGAUGAGAGUACCGUACGAAUAAGCAUCGGCUAACUCCGUGCCAGCAGCCGCGGUAAUACGGAGGAUGCGAGCGUUAUCCGGAUUUAUUGGGUUUAAAGGGUGCGUAGGCGGCUUGCCAAGUCAGCGGUGAAAUCCGGGCGCCCAACGCCGGAACUGCCGUUGAAACUGGCGGGCUCGAAUGGUGCCGCCGCAUGCGGAAUGUGUGAAGUAGCGGUGAAAUGCAUAGAUAUCACACAGAACGCCGAUUGUGGAAACAGCAUGCGAGACACAGAUUGACGCUGAGGCACGAAGGUGCGGGGAUCGAACAGGAUUAGAUACCCUGGUAGUCCGCACAGUAAACGAUGAGGACUCGCCGCCCGGCGAAUACAGUGUCGGUUGGUCAAGCGAAAGCGAUAAGUCAUCCACCUGGGGGAGUACGGCCGCAAGGCUGAAACUCAAAGGAAUUGACGGGGGCCCGCACAAGCGGAGGAACAUGUGGUUUAAUUCGAUGAUACGCGAGGAACCUUACCCGGGCUCGAACGGUGGCGGAACGACGCAGAGAUGCGGAGGUCAGCAAUGACUGUCACCGAGGUGCUGCAUGGUUGUCGUCAGCUCGUGCCGUGAGGUGUCGGCUUAAGUGCCAUAACGAGCGCAACCCUUACCGCCAGUUACCAGCACGCGAAGGUGGGGACUCUGGCGGGACUGCCGCCGUAAGGUGUGAGGAGGGGGGGGAUGACGUCAAAUCAGCACGGCCCUUACGUCCGGGGCGACACACGUGUUACAAUGGCAGGCACAGCGCGCUGCCCGCGGGUGACCGCGGGCGAAUCGCCAAAGCCUGUCCCAGUUCGGACUGGAGUCUGCAACCCGACUCCACGAAGUUGGAUUCGCUAGUAAUCGCGCAUCAGCCAUGGCGCGGUGAAUACGUUCCCGGGCCUUGUACACACCGCCCGUCA
Molecule: ribosomal RNA, 1398 nt
Filed under: uncultured bacterium
Lineage: Bacteria
Description: 16S ribosomal RNA
Rfam family: Bacterial small subunit ribosomal RNA
Source: RNAcentral